UCCCCAUUUUGACACUUGUACCCAUUCGAGCUCAGAUUACCAUUCUGAUACCCGUUACUGUUCUUGAUGCCGUUCACAGCGUUGACACCGCUCUCCUCCAUGUCUACAUCAUCCUCUAUUUGACCAUUGACGAACUGUGGGCCGCUGGUGCCGUUCAUUGCGUUACUGAUAUUCAUCUCUUCUACAGUACCGGUUGCGGACUUCACAUAUGCUUUGGUCGAUUGUAUCACACUGGUUUGAUUUGGAUUGCCACUCGGACAAACCUCCGAAUCGCUGCCGUUCACCAUUUCCACGAAUUGACGGCACUUGAGUGCGAACAGUAGAUCCGGAUUUCCAUCGAGCAGACCGGGGUAUAACCGAUUAGUCACUUCUAUCGCCUCGCCCACACGACCGGACAAUACCAGCUUUAUAAUCCCUACGGAUCAUCAUUGAAAUUACUCUUGGGAAGAGCGGCAAUGAGCAGCACCUACUUUGUCGAUUUUUAAUGGAGCUGUAGUCCUCCUGGAACACCUGGCCCGUGCUGCUGGCGAAUGCCUCGGCGCUGUCGAGAUACCCGUGAUGGACGAGAUACGUACACACCAUUCUGUCGAAUUCGUACAGAGUAAUUUGUUACUCUCGAAAGAUAUUGUGAACAUUGGUCCGUUGGCGAUUUUUCCCCCCCUCUAAUUUCCUUGAUCUAUCCGCGUUUUCGAAAGACACUCUCGCAAAUCAUCUUAAUAGGCAACAACGACAAACGAAGAAAGAAAAAUAAUCACGAAAGAAAGAGACUAGUAGAGAAUCAUGCAUUCGAUUCCCGUCUCACUUUCUGCUUAUGUACCUGUGAAGAAUCGCCUGCCACUGGCCCUGGCCGUGAUCCGGCGUGGGAUAGUUUAUGAUCUGUAAUCUCGUUCUUACACGCAAUUCGUUGAUCAUAUCCCCGAUGUCGAAGACGAAAGGUAACUGUCCGAAGUUGGCAUCAACCACCUCACCUGGAGUCUGCAGACCGACCGUUGGAUAGAGACUGGUCUGCGAAAACGAAUUGCAUUUAUAACGAGUAGCUUACGGGAAGGUCCGUGAAGGCGAUGCCCAAGUGAUGACCAUUUUUUGUGUAGAAGGCGGUGUUGUCAACGAGAUUUACGCCGCAGCCGAUUACGUCGCCGGUGGUGAAGGUCGGCCCGUAAGGUUGUCCGGUGCCGCUUGAGCAGAAACUGUGACCGUCGUCACCGUGAUAACCGUAUGAGUGCUUGUCCCAACCUGGGAGCAAAAGAUCCGAAGAAGAUCAAGACGGAAUAAGUACGCGUUUACGAGAACGCGAGUGUGAUGCAAGUGCAAGUGCAAGGAAAAUACAAGAAGAACAGUUAAGGGCUAACGGUAAGAUGCACGGCUGGGCAAUCUUCCGUUUUCUUGGGUACUAGCUUCAUCCAAGGAAGAUCACGUGCAUCCGAGCUACGCUUCGUAAACAGAUGCGUACACGAAGCGCAGCCCGCAAGACACGACGGGUUCCACGCAGCGUUUACUCCUCGAAAUCGUUAUCGUGGACUUGCGCGUAAGCAGGAGAAGCCCAGAUCCGAUUGUGAGGAGGCGAGUCUUCGAGAUUCGCAAUCAACAAUCGCGCGAUUUAAUCGGAAAGAGCAGCGGUUUAUGAGUCACAAUAAAGUUACUUUUUUUGCGUUUAUCGCAAAAAUAAAAUUAUUCCAUCUUUUAACAGAUGUGUUUCAGAAAUAUGGCUUGUUUAAUUAAUAAUUUAGAAUUUUUUUAAUUUUACAUUUUUUGUAUCUUUUUUUUCUUUAUAAAAGAGACGAUCAAAGAUCAACUUGUAAAUUACGGAGUUUGAUGGAUGAGAAAUACGAAAGAAAGAAAUAUCAAAUAAUAAUAAAUAAUAAACAUUCGUAAUAAAGGUUAAUAUCUGCAAAUAAAUGUAUAUACAUAAGAAAUUGAAUAUAAAA
Long non-coding RNA from Nylanderia fulva, 1925 nucleotides. RefSeq lists it as uncharacterized. The record is from RefSeq and is a predicted model, not a curated record. NCBI's taxonomy places the organism in Eukaryota, Metazoa, Arthropoda, Insecta, Hymenoptera, Formicidae.